Neofelis nebulosa (Clouded leopard) is the source of this 481-nucleotide long non-coding RNA. RefSeq lists it as uncharacterized. NCBI's taxonomy places the organism in Eukaryota, Metazoa, Chordata, Mammalia, Carnivora, Felidae. The record is from RefSeq and is a predicted model, not a curated record. The transcript is spliced from 2 exons.
AGAAAUGGGUUGGAAGGCAGCCACAGUAAACACGGUGCUGGCAGGUCACGAGAUGGGUGGGCAAGGCUGAGGAGCUGUCCCCGGGCGAGCUUUGGCCACCUGAACUCCUGUACUAAGUGGCUUUGGAAGAAACACUGCAGUUCCACUAGGAGGAGCACUGAACACGGGCAGACUUGCAUAAUUUCCAGAAACUAUGUCUAAUUUGCAGGGUCCCAGCCAAUGAAACUAAGAUGGGUGGAGGGGAAACAUUUCCUCUUCCUCCUCUGCAUGUGUUUCCUGACUCCAACCCUCAUUGGACUACGAUGUGAAAAGAAGUCUUCAUUGUGUUAAGCCACUGAGAUUUGGAAGUUGUUUGUUAACAACAGCUACCAUCAUUUAUUCUAUUUAAUAGAUCUUAGAUGCUUUUAACAACAGUGUCUAUCUCCACAUGUCAGAAGGAUUAAGAUGAUAUUUGCAACAAUAAAAGUACUACAUAUUAUUA